Ostrea edulis (European flat oyster) is the source of this 476-nucleotide long non-coding RNA. RefSeq lists it as uncharacterized. NCBI's taxonomy places the organism in Eukaryota, Metazoa, Mollusca, Bivalvia, Ostreida, Ostreidae. The transcript has 2 exons. The record is from RefSeq and is a predicted model, not a curated record.
GGGACAGAUAUCUGACGGAGAUACGAGCGCUAAAAUAAUUUGUUUAUAAACAAAUCGACAUUGUCAGUUAGAAGUGCAGGGAAAACGUGAACGGUGAAGUACCAUAGACCUAGUGCUAAGUUUCCUUAUCAUGCCAACGUCUGCUGUGACACGGGACCUCCGCUUUUAAGGUCAUAUCCUAAAGACCUGUGGCUCUCGCUUAGAAGCCAAGUAUUUGGUGAAGGAGUAUAGAUCAAACUACCAAAAGCUUACAUUUUGUGUUUGACUAGGCCAUGGCAUCAGCAGGGCUCGAACUCGCGACCUCUAACUGUCUAAGUUACAAAGUGAUCGCUCUACCACUGAGCUACCGUAACCGUUCGAGAAACGAAGAAGUUGGUACAGAUUUAACCACCAGUUUUCAAGAAAUUAAAUUUUGAUGUUAAAAACGCUUUCCCCCCUGAAAUACAUGUAAUAAAAAAAAAUAUGAUGACUAAAAA